This 465-nucleotide ribosomal RNA is filed under the name uncultured bacterium. RNAcentral's name for it is "partial 16S ribosomal RNA". It matches the Rfam family "Bacterial small subunit ribosomal RNA", at positions 28 to 507 of the family's 1533-position model. The record is from RNAcentral.
GAUGAACGCUGGCGGCGUGCUUAACACAUGCAAGUCGAACGGAAAGGCCCAAGCUUGCUUGGGUACUCGAGUGGCGAACGGGUGAGUAACACGUGGGUGAUCUGCCCUGCACUUCGGGAUAAGCCUGGGAAACUGGGUCUAAUACCGGAUAGGACCACAUUUUGGAUGGUGUGGUGGAAAGUUUUUCGGUGUGGGAUGAGCUCGCGGCCUAUCAGCUUGUUGGUGGGGUAAUGGCCUACCAAGGCGUCGACGGGUAGCCGGCCUGAGAGGGUGUACGGCCACAUUGGGACUGAGAGACGGCCCAGACUCCUACGGGAGGCAGCGGGGGGGAAUAUGGCACAAUGGGGGCAAGCCUGAUGCAGCGACGCCGCGUGGGGGAUGACGGCCUUCGGGUGGUAAACUCCUUUCGCUGGGGACGAAGCGAAAGUGACGGUACCUGGAGAAGAAGCACCGGCUAACUACGUG